Helianthus annuus (common sunflower) is the source of this 490-nucleotide long non-coding RNA. RefSeq lists it as uncharacterized. The record is from RefSeq and is a predicted model, not a curated record. NCBI's taxonomy places the organism in Eukaryota, Viridiplantae, Streptophyta, Magnoliopsida, Asterales, Asteraceae. The transcript is spliced from 3 exons.
UUCAUUAUUGUGUAGAAGCACACUUGAAUCUUUCCGUUGUCUUACACGCACAAGGAUAUAAAUGACAACUCUUUAGGCCCUGAUGGUGAUCUUCGAGUCUAUCUAGAAGGUGUGGCCGCCAGUGAAAAUGUUAAAACAUUUGGAAUUCAAGGAAGAAAAGUAAACAUUACAGGAACAGAUGACUGUGUCCAGUUCCUCUCUACCUUCGGUCUUUAGUAGAGGUGGAAAAUGGCGCGAUUGGACGAGUUAGGUAAUGGGUCAAAGCUGGUAAUUUUUUUGUACAGGAGUUAGCCCCAAAUGCUUUUUGUCUAAUUUUAAUUGACUAGAAAACAUAUCCCUUUGUAUAAAUCUAAUGAAAACAUUUUUAGUUCUAAAGACUACAGAGAUGGCUAUGGGAAUGUUGGGUGGUUGAAUUUAAAUUGGUUAACCUUUUGAGGAAAAGGUUUGAUAGGGUCAACUUCAAAAGUAUAUUUCGGGUGAUUUUUGACGU